AUUGAACGCUGGCGGCAUGCCUUACACAUGCAAGUCGAACGGCAGCAUGAUCUCGCUUGCUAGAUUGAUGGCGAGUGGCGAACGGGUGAGUAAUACAUCGGAACGUGCCCUGUAGUGGGGGAUAACUAGUCGAAAGAUUAGCUAAUACCGCAUACGACCUGAGGGUGAAAGUGGGGGACCGCAAGGCCUCAUGCUAUAGGAGCGGCCGAUGUCUGAUUAGCUAGUUGGUGAGGUAAAGGCUCACCAAGGCGACGAUCAGUAGCUGGUCUGAGAGGACGAUCAGCCACACUGGGACUGAGACACGGCCCAGACUCCUACGGGAGGCAGCAGUGGGGAAUUUUGGACAAUGGGCGAAAGCCUGAUCCAGCAAUGCCGCGUGUGUGAAGAAGGCCUUCGGGUUGUAAAGCACUUUUGUCCGGAAAGAAAUGGCUCUGGUUAAUACCUGGGGUCGAUGACGGUACCGGAAGAAUAAGUACCGGCUAACUACGUG
Molecule: ribosomal RNA, 490 nt
Filed under: uncultured bacterium
Lineage: Bacteria
Description: partial 16S ribosomal RNA
Rfam family: Bacterial small subunit ribosomal RNA
Source: RNAcentral